RNAcentral lists this transfer RNA (65 nucleotides) under Holotrichia oblita. RNAcentral's name for it is "tRNA-Ile". The record is from RNAcentral. Lineage: Eukaryota; Metazoa; Arthropoda; Insecta; Coleoptera; Scarabaeidae.
AAUGAAGUGUCUGAAAAAGAGCUAUUUUGAUAGGGUAGAAAAUGCGGAUUUUUCCGCCUUCAUUA